UACGCAGGGCGCAAGCGUUGUCCGGAAUUAUUGGGCGUAAAGAGCUCGUAGGCGGUUUGUCGCGUCUGUCGUGAAAGCUUGGGGCUUAACCCCAAGUCUGCGGUGGAUACGGGCAGACUAGAGGCAGGUAGGGGAGAACGGAAUUCCCGGUGUAGCGGUGAAAUGCGCAGAUAUCGGGAGGAACACCGGUGGCGAAGGCGGUUCUCUGGGCCUGUACUGACGCUGAGGAGCGAAAGCGUGGGGAGCGAACAGG
This 253-nucleotide ribosomal RNA is filed under the name uncultured bacterium. RNAcentral describes it as "partial 16S ribosomal RNA". It matches the Rfam family "Bacterial small subunit ribosomal RNA", at positions 524 to 776 of the family's 1533-position model. The record is from RNAcentral.